AUUGAACGCUGGCGGCAGGCCUAACACAUGCAAGUCGAACGGUAGCACAGAGGAGCUUGCUCCUUGGGUGACGAGUGGCGGACGGGUGAGUAAUGUCUGGGAAACUGCCCGAUGGAGGGGGAUAACUACUGGAAACGGUAGCUAAUACCGCAUAACGUCGCAAGACCAAAGAGGGGGACCUUCGGGCCUCUUGCCAUCGGAUGUGCCCAGAUGGGAUUAGCUAGUAGGUGGGGUAACGGCUCACCUAGGCGACGAUCCCUAGCUGGUCUGAGAGGAUGACCAGCCACACUGGAACUGAGACACGGUCCAGACUCCUACGGGAGGCAGCAGUGGGGAAUAUUGCACAAUGGGCGCAAGCCUGAUGCAGCCAUGCCGCGUGUAUGAAGAAGGCCUUCGGGUUGUAAAGUACUUUCAGCGAGGAGGAAGGCAUUAAGGUUAAUAACCUUAGUGAUUGA
This 455-nucleotide ribosomal RNA is filed under the name uncultured Enterobacterales bacterium. Its description in RNAcentral is "bacterial SSU rRNA". It matches the Rfam family "Bacterial small subunit ribosomal RNA", at positions 30 to 476 of the family's 1533-position model. Lineage: Bacteria; Pseudomonadati; Pseudomonadota; Gammaproteobacteria; Enterobacterales. The record is from RNAcentral.